This 561-nucleotide ribosomal RNA is filed under the name Geotrichum candidum. RNAcentral describes it as "eukaryotic LSU rRNA". It matches the Rfam family "Eukaryotic large subunit ribosomal RNA", at positions 50 to 652 of the family's 3401-position model. The record is from RNAcentral. Lineage: Eukaryota; Fungi; Ascomycota; Dipodascomycetes; Dipodascales; Dipodascaceae.
GCGGAGGAAAAGAAACCAACAGGGAUUGCCUUAGUAACGGCGAGUGAAGCGGCAAAAGCUCAAAUUUGAAAUCGGCCCCCAGGUCGAGUUGUAAUUUGUAGAUUGUAUCUUGAGAGCGGAUUAAAGUCUGUUGGAACACAGCGCCUUAGAGGGUGACAGCCCCGUAAAAUCUAUUCUCAUUGUAAGAUACUUUCGAAGAGUCGAGUUGUUUGGGAAUGCAGCUCUAAGUGGGAGGUAAAUUCCUUCUAAAGCUAAAUAUUGACGAGAGACCGAUAGCGAACAAGUACUGUGAAGGAAAGAUGAAAAGCACUUUGAAAAGAGAGUGAAAAAGUACGUGAAAUUGUUAAAAGGGAAGGGUAUUGAAUCAGACUUGGUGCUGUUGUUCAACUGUGUUUCGGCAUAGUGUACUCAGCAGUACUAGGCCAAGGUGGGGUGUUUGGGAGUGAAAAAGAAGUAGGAAGGUAACUCUUCGGAGUGUUAUAGCCUACUUUCAUAGCUCCUCAGGCGCCUCAGGACUGCGCUUCGGCAAGGACCUUGGCAUAAUGAUUCUAUACCGCCCGU